CUGUACAGUUCAGAGUUUGAUCCUGGCUCAGAACGAACGCUGGCGGCAUGCCUAACACAUGCAAGUCGAACGAAGGCUUCGGCCUUAGUGGCGCACGGGUGCGUAACGCGUGGGAACCUGCCCCUUGGUUCGGAAUAACACAGAGAAAUUUGUGCUAAUACCGGAUGAUGACUUCGGUCCAAAGAUUUAUCGCCGAGGGAUGGGCCCGCGUAGGAUUAGCUUGUUGGUGGGGUAAUGGCCUACCAAGGCGACGACCCUUAGCUGGUCUGAGAGGAUGAUCAGCCACACUGGGACUGAGACACGGCCCAG
This 309-nucleotide ribosomal RNA is filed under the name uncultured bacterium. RNAcentral describes it as "partial 16S ribosomal RNA". It matches the Rfam family "Bacterial small subunit ribosomal RNA", at positions 1 to 334 of the family's 1533-position model. The record is from RNAcentral.